GGGGGUUUAGCUCAAUUGGGUAGAGACGACUGCUUGUCAAGCAGAAGUGCAGCGCUUCGAGUCGCUAACUCCA
RNAcentral lists this transfer RNA (73 nucleotides) under Synechococcus sp. MI0608C. RNAcentral's name for it is "tRNA-Ala". It matches the Rfam family "tRNA". From Rfam's summary of the family: Transfer RNA (tRNA) molecules are approximately 80 nucleotides in length. Their secondary structure includes four short double-helical elements and three loops (D, anti-codon, and T loops). Lineage: Bacteria; Bacillati; Cyanobacteriota; Cyanophyceae; Synechococcales; Synechococcaceae. The record is from RNAcentral.